UGAAUACGAGAUGCUACGGCGUCGAAGCAGUGUAUGUCAGACUUCCAAGAAAAGCUCGCAAUGUCAUAAAUAAAGAAUGCCUGUACCAUAACCGACACAGGUGGGUAGGUAGAGUAUACUAAGGGGCGCGAGAUAACUCUCUCUAAGGAACUCGGCAAAAUAACUCCGUAACUUCGGGAGAAGGAGUGCCUUCUUGAAGAAGGUUGCAAUAACAAGAUCCAAGCAACUGUUUAUCAAAAACACAGGUCUCCGCUAAGUCGAAAGACGAUGUAUGGGGGCUGACGCCUGCCCAGUGCCAGAAGGUUAAAGAAGCUGGUUAGCAAUAGCGAAGCUGGUGACUGAAGCCCUGGUGAACGGCGGCCGUAACAAUAACGGUCCUAAGGUAGCGAAAUUCCUUGUCGGGUAAGUUCCGACCCGCACGAAAGGAGUAAUGAUUUGGAUACUGUCUCGGAGAGGGACUCGGUGAAAUAGACUUGUCUGUGAAGAUGCGGACUACCUGCACCAGGACAGAAAGACCCUAUGAAGCUUUACUGUAACUUGAAAUUGAAAUUGGACUUUAUUUGCGCAGUAUAGGUGGAAGGCGUUGAGAUUACUCUUGCGGGAUUAGUGGAGCCAUCAGUGAGAUACCACUCCUAUAAUGUUAGAUUUCUAACUUUGGAUCAUAAUCUGGUCAAAGAACAGUUUCAGGCGGGCAGUUUGACUGGGGCGGUCGCCUCCCAAAUGGUAACGGAGGCGUACAAAGGUUUCCUCUGAACGGGUAGAAAUCGUAUCUAGAGUGUAAAGGCAUAAGGAAGCUUGACUGUGAGACCUACAAGUCCAGCAGGGACGAAAGUCGGUCUUAGUGAUCCGACGGUGCUGAGUGGAAAGGCCGUCACUCAACGGAUAAAAGUUACUCUAGGAUAACAGGCUGAUCUCCCCCAAGAGUUCACAUCGACGGGGAGGUUUGGCACCUCGAUGUCGGCUCAUCGCAUCCUGGGGCGGUAGUACGUCCCAAGGGUUGGGCUGUUCGCCCAUGAAAGCGGUACGCGAGCUGGGUUCAGAACGUCGUGAGACAGUUCGGUCCAUAUCCGGUGUAGGCGUUAGAAUAUUGAGAGGAGCCUUCUUUAGUACGAGAGGACCGAGAAGGACAUACCUCUGGUGUACCAGUUAUCGUGCCAACGGUAACGCUGGGUAGCUAUGUAUGGAGAGGAUAACCGCUGAAAGCAUCUAAGUGGGAAGCCCACCUCAAGAUGAGUAUUCUCA
Molecule: ribosomal RNA, 1242 nt
Filed under: metagenome
Description: bacterial LSU rRNA
Rfam family: Bacterial large subunit ribosomal RNA
Source: RNAcentral